This 301-nucleotide ribosomal RNA is filed under the name uncultured bacterium. RNAcentral's name for it is "partial 16S ribosomal RNA". It matches the Rfam family "Bacterial small subunit ribosomal RNA", at positions 509 to 808 of the family's 1533-position model. The record is from RNAcentral.
CAGUCGCCGCGGGAAUACGAAGGGGGCUAGCGUUGUUCGGAUUACUGGGCGUAAAGGGCGCGUAGGCGGACUGAUAAGUCAGGGGUGAAAUCCCAAGGCUCAACCUUGGAACUGCCUUUGAUACUGUUUGUCUUGAGUUCGAGAGAGGUAAGUGGAACUGCGAGUGUAGAGGUGAAAUUCGUAGAUAUUCGCAAGAACACCAGUGGCGAAGGCGGCUUACUGGCUCGAAACUGACGCUGAGGCGCGAAAGCGUGGGGAGCAAACAGGAUUAGAUACCCCCGUAGUCCCUGUCUCUUAUACA